Molecule: ribosomal RNA, 912 nt
Filed under: uncultured archaeon
Lineage: Archaea
Description: bacterial SSU rRNA
Rfam family: Archaeal small subunit ribosomal RNA
Source: RNAcentral
UUCCGGUUGAUCCUGCCGGAGGCUACCGCUAUUGGAGUUCGAUUAAGCCAUGCGAGUCUAGAGGCCUAGCCUCGGCGUACCGCUCAGUAACACGUGGGUAACCUACCCUAUGCUGGGGAAUAAGCUCGGGAAACUGAGAAUAAUACCCCAUAGUCCACUACGCCUGGAACGGUGAGUGGAUCAAAGCUCCGGCGGCAUAGGAUGGGCCUGCGGCGUAUCAGGUUGUAGGGGGUGUAAUGUACCCUCUAGCCAUCCACGCGUACGGGUGUUGGGAGACAUUGCCCGGAGAUGGAUUCUGAGACACGAAUCCAGACCCUACGGGGUGCAGCAGGCGCGAAAACUUGGCAAUGCGAGAAAUCGUGACCAGGGAACUCCAAGUGGCAGGGGUAAGACCCUGUCUUUUUCCGACUCUAAAUAGGUCGGCGAAUAAGGGGUGGGUAAGGACGGUGCCAGCCGCCGCGGUAAUACCGGCGCCUCAAGUGGUAGUCGCUUUUAUUGGGCCUAAAACGUCCGUAGCCGGUCUGGUACAUUCGUGGGUAAAUCAACUCGCUUAACGAGUUGAAUUCUGCGAGGACGGCCAGACUUGGGACCGGGAGAGGUGUGGGGUACUCUCAGGGUAGGGGUAAAAUCCUGUCAUCCUGAGAGGACCACCUGUUGCGAAGGCUCCACACUAGAACGGAUCCGACGGUCAGGGACGAAGCCUAGGGGCACGAACCGGAUUAGAUACCCGGGUAGUCCUAGGUGGAAACGCUGUGGACUUGAUGUUGGGGACGCUCCGAGCGUUCUCAGUGUCGAAGCGAAGGUGAUAAGUCCACUGCCUGGGGAGUACGGUCGCAAGGCUGAAACUUAAAGGAAUUGGCGGGGGAGCACCGCAACCUGAGGAUUGUGCGGUUUAAUUGGAUCAACGCCGGA